UACGGAGGAGGCAAGCGUUAUCCGGAAUUAUUGGGCGUAAAGCGUCCGUAGAUGGUCGUUUCAAGUCUGCCGUCAAAUCCCAGGGCUUAACCCUGGACAGGCGGUGGAAACUACCAAGCUGGAGUACGGUAGGGGCAGAGGGAAUUUCCGGUGGAGCGGUGAAAUGCGUAGAGAUCGGAAAGAACACCAACGGCGAAAGCUCUCUGCUGGGCCGACACUGACACUGAGAGACGAAAGCUAGGGGAGCGAAUGGG
Molecule: ribosomal RNA, 254 nt
Filed under: uncultured bacterium
Lineage: Bacteria
Description: partial 16S ribosomal RNA
Rfam family: Bacterial small subunit ribosomal RNA
Source: RNAcentral